Callorhinchus milii (elephant shark) is the source of this 908-nucleotide RNA transcript. It is a transcript of the gene named cadherin-16-like, with no coding region annotated. Lineage: Eukaryota; Metazoa; Chordata; Chondrichthyes; Chimaeriformes; Callorhinchidae. The record is from RefSeq and is a predicted model, not a curated record. The transcript is spliced from 7 exons.
UGGGAGGCGUUGCCUCCAGUGGCUCGAUGGCUUUUUGAACAAACAAAGAACUUGUUAAAAAGUGGAAAUAACGCGCGUGCUCUGGGUGCAGAGUCAUUGGAGCAAAGACGAUCACUUCAAAGACCCUGAGGCUAUGUUCAGCAUCCGCUCCAUGCACAUCAGCCACUGCCCUCAGGUGUUGCUGUUGGUGCUGGUGGCUGGGGGCCCCUGUCUGCACGCUGCCAGAGAAGUGUUGGUGUCUGAGAACUACGUGGGGACCUUCCCCUAUUACCUGACUCGGAUUGGCACAGGUGUUGCUGGUACGGUCAGGCUGGAUCUGGUCAGAGAUUAUGACGGGUUGUUUGGAAUCGAAGCCCCUGGGCUGCUGUUCGCAACGAUGUCUUUUGAUCGAGAAACUCAGGAUCUAUACGAGCUGAAGGUAAACGUGACGGAUGCGAUGGGGGAGGAGCUGGCGCCACUCAUUUCCAUCGACAUCCGCAUCCUCGAUCAAAACGACAAUGCCCCGCGCUUCCCCGGCCGAGUUACUCGGCCAGUGUCCACCAGGGAGCAAAGCCAGGUUUUAGCAUAGUCUCCGUCACGGCCACGGACCCUGAUGACCCCUCUCUGCCCAACGCUGACUUGCGUUACACCAUCUUCACACAGCACCCUGCACCGACCGCAGACCUCAUGUUCCAGAUCCACAGGAUGUCGGGAGUCGUGUCGGUCUCUGAGGAAGGAGCUGUCUCGCUGGAUCCCUCCCGAGUUGACGAGUACCAGUUGGCUGUUGAAGUGAAAGACAUGGGCGACCAGAAACUUGGCCACUUCACACGUGUUAACGUGACCAUCCGUGUAACUGAGAACAUCUGGCUUCCCCCACCUGCUGUCACCGUGUCAGAAAACCAUGCAGGCCCCUACCCCAUGGUCAUCUC